Molecule: long non-coding RNA, 893 nt
Organism: Homo sapiens (human)
Lineage: Eukaryota; Metazoa; Chordata; Mammalia; Primates; Hominidae
Gene: STAG3L4
Product: STAG3 cohesin complex component like 4 (pseudogene)
Source: Ensembl
AGGGUCACAAGGGAGAUGUCCGCCCCCAGUCGUAGCCUCGGACGGUUUCUGAGCGUUGGUGUUUGGCACGCGCCACCCUCUCUUGCUUUGGUUCCGCCAUGCCGAUGUACCAGGUAAAACCUUAUCACGGGCGCGGCGCGCCUCUCCGUGUGGAGCUUCCCACCUGCAUGUACCGGCUCUCUAACGUGCAAGGCAGGAGCGGCGGCCCAGCGCCCGGCGUUGGCCACCUACAGGACUCGGGGGACUAUCCUCUGACAGCUCCAGGUCUAUCCUGGAAGAAGUUCCAGGGCAGCUUCUGUGAGUUUGUGGGGACAUUGGUCUGUCGGUGCCAGUACAUCCUCCUCCAUGAUGACUUCCCUAUGGACAACCUCAUCUCCCUGCUCACUGGCUUCUCAGACUCACAAGUCUGCGCCUUCUGUCACACUAGCACCCUGGCUGCUAUGAAACUGAUGACCUCCCUGGUAAGAGUUGCCCUCCAACUGAGUCUGCACGAAGAUAUCAAUCAGCGUCAGUAUGAGGCUGAAAGAAACAAGGGGCCAGGGCAGAGGGCACCUGAGCGGCUGGAGAGCCUGUUGGAGAAACACAAAGAGCUGCAUUAAUACUACAUUGUCAAAGACAAAGACGAACAUGAGACAUGCGAUAUGAGUUUUAAAAGGAGAGAAGAGCAAAAAAACAAUACAGCUAUCCAAGGAGCAAGUGCUGAGCUUGUGAAAAAACAGCUUCUAUUUUAUUAAAUAAUAGUGUUCCUGCAGGGAUGUCUGAAGUACUCUGCAAGGCUAAUUAGGACAGAUCAAUGUACACUUACCUCUCCAGAAGGCUGAAAGGUGUGUAGUGACUAUGUGUCAUUAAAAAUUUACUUGACCAUGGGCAACAGAUGUCCAUGAAAGAAUGAC